UCACCUCAAAUUUCAAGAGCAUAGAUGCACAUUUUAAAGAAUAAAGCAAUUUCGAUCCAAGAUCUUUUUUAAACAGCUAUGCAAUCUUUAAAAAUUAGACAGCUAUGCAAAAUCUUUACUAAACAGCUAUCCAAAAAUUAACCAUUAUCCAUGCAAUCUUAAAAAAUUAACAAAAAAAAAAAGGAAAUUUGACAACUAUGCAUCACAAUCCAACAUCUAUGCACCAACAACCUUAAAAAAUGCAACUCCAAAAAAAAAACAAAAAAAACGUUUCAAUUUUGCCAUUUAUGCAUCAAUAUCCAACAUCUAUGCAUCACAAUCUUUCAUCUAUGCAAAUAAAAAAAACCUCUCAAAGAAUCGCAAGAAAUGGUAUAUUUUUGCAACAACUUUGUCACAUCUAUGCAACAACACCCAUCAUCUAUUCAAUUUAAACAAAUUAACCAAAAAACAAUCAACUAUGCAAUAACA
RNAcentral lists this long non-coding RNA (468 nucleotides) under Salvia miltiorrhiza (redroot sage). RNAcentral's name for it is "long non-coding RNA (SMIL_LNC014267)". Lineage: Eukaryota; Viridiplantae; Streptophyta; Magnoliopsida; Lamiales; Lamiaceae. The record is from RNAcentral.